Long non-coding RNA from Panthera uncia (snow leopard), 1085 nucleotides. RefSeq lists it as uncharacterized. The transcript has 5 exons. Lineage: Eukaryota; Metazoa; Chordata; Mammalia; Carnivora; Felidae. The record is from RefSeq and is a predicted model, not a curated record.
UGAAUUUUUGAAACUAUGUUUGACUGUUUAAGCAAAAGUCAUAGCACUCUCUGAUGCAGUUAUAAAUGUAUAUAGAGGGGAUAUUUAAAGACACUAUAUUAUAAAUGGAGGAAGAUAUAGGAUGUAAAGGGAGAUAAGGUCCUAUACUUUGGUUGAGCAGUUAAAUGACAUUAUCAGUGAUCAUUUAACCAUGUAUAUACAUACACAGACAUAUACUCAAAGUGCACUUAAAUACAGUAUGUGUACUCCAAACAAAAUUCUUAAAUGAAAUAAAAGUCUCUUGGAGGGGCAUCUGGGUGGCUCAGUUGGCUAGGCAUCUGACUUCUGCUGAGGUCACAAUCUCAGGGUUUGUGAGCUUGAGCCCCACCCCUCGCUUUGCACUCUCUCUCCCUUUCUCUUUGCCCCUUGCUCACGUGAGCUCUCUCUCUCAAACGAAUGAAUGAACAAAUGAAUAAAUAAACAUCUGCGUUAUGUAUGUCCGGGCCUGAAGUCCAUCAGCCAAGACUUAUUUUGGUGAGUCAAAGGAGCAAAAAUCUGGCAGUUUCCAGUUGCAGUGUGGGCUAUCCAAUGUACCCUGUUUUAAAAUCCAGGGUUCAAAAUCAACAAAUGCAGAAUAAAAGUUGGGACUUGACUGCCUUUAUUUAGCCUGACGACCGCAAUGCUUGAAGCAGUCUUUUGACCUGGAUCUUGGGUUUGUGGAUUCAGGGACUGUUUCUUCAAGGAAGCCAAAUCACAAUCAGAAGGUUGCUUGCUAAACACAGAGCCAGAAGUGGAAACGGAUUAAAUUUCUAACGGUAUGAAGCCAAGAUUGCCUGAUGCAUCCACUGUGUGUGUAGUAAGUCCUUUAGUCAUUUCAGUUACAUAUAAGACGACCAGCAUGUGCCAGACGCCGAGAUAGAAAGCAAAAGAGACUCAGUACGUGCCCUCAUACAGCCUACACUCUGUCAAGGGAGACAGUUAAUUGAUACGAUAGUGUGACAGUUACUAUAAUGGGGGAAGUACAGGCCACUACAGGAAAACAGGAAAAACUAAGGUAACAUUUUGGGUGGGGGUUUGGUUUUGGGAAAGUAACCCCAAAGAAGUGG